GUCAGCUCACGGAAAUUGAUGAAAUGCUCCUCCCGGCAACACUUGCUGCUGUUUGGGCUGGAGUUACAGUUCCCCUGAGAUCUGUUGGCAUGGAAAUGAAGGAUUUUAGUCAAUGAAUUGACAGUUUUGACCCUUCUGCUUUCCAGCUUUAACCAUCUUUGGUAAAAGCAGCAGUUUAUUUGGCAGAGCAGAGGCGAGAGGAAAGUGUAUUGAGAAAUGGCCACCCCUGCUGUCAUUAUUCCACAAACAGAGGCAGUAAAUCCAGGAGUGUGUUCAGGGAUGUGGAUUGGAGGGAGUUUCUCAAGGGGUGAUUAUCUGUUACUAUUGCAGGACUGCUCAGACCUCUUCUGUCCUGCCAACAUGGGACUAAAGUUACCCCAGUCUGUGUAUUGGGGCCGCAGGUUGUCCUGGGAUGUCAGACAAUGACGGCACAGGAACGGCUGAUGACGGAUCACGUCACGUCAGACAGCUAAGCAAAUUUACUUGCUACACAGCCAUGUUUUCAUGGUAAUCGUGUUAUUAUCUGACGCUGUUUGUCAGGAUGGGCAAGACAAGUAAAAUUCAAUGUUUACGAAUCAACAUGCCUUUUAUUAUUCCAAAUGAAGUCAAUAGCACUACAGAUAAGCCACAUUUUCUCUAACAUAAAUUUAAGAACUAAAAUUCAUACAGAAUUUGAAACCUUUAUAUUUUAUUUAAAAAAGCAAAAACAAAAAAAACUGAAAAUCUGAAAACCAAACUCGAUAUUUGAAAUACUGCAGCCAUGUUUGUAGACUGAGAUUUAAAAAAUAAACAAAAAGAAAUAAAAUAAAAAUAGUAAUAAUAAUACUUCACUAUAUUUAUAUAUUUAUUUAGCAGUUCAGUUUUUUGUUUUUUUUGCAUUAUUUAUGAUUGUAUUUAUUAUUUUAAAGUUAUUCAUUUAAUAUUUCUAAAACAUGACUGAAUGGGAUUUGUGGAAAACAAAAAAAAGUUGUAUUGAUUUAUAAUGCAACUAAUACAAUUUUGUAAAUGUAACUGCUGUCCUAUAAGCUGACAUAAGAAUUUAAAAACAAAGUCAUAAGAAUUUGUUGUUAAAAAUGCUAAAUGUUUGCGUUUACACAGUUUUAUCUCUGUCAUAUCUUUCAGCUGCACCUUAAAAAAGUUUCCUUGAUAAAAUGUAACAUUUAAAAAUGUAUGUAGAUAAGUAUUAAUGUAUUUAAUGCCCCAGAUUUAUUUUAAUAAAUGUAAUUCUGAUGUUUUUGUAAAUUUGAAUAUUUUGAAUUUGAAAAAUUUCUGAAACCUUGUCAUGAAAAUAAAGUACUUUUUUUUA
Onychostoma macrolepis is the source of this 1306-nucleotide long non-coding RNA. RefSeq lists it as uncharacterized. The record is from RefSeq and is a predicted model, not a curated record. Lineage: Eukaryota; Metazoa; Chordata; Actinopteri; Cypriniformes; Cyprinidae. The transcript has 2 exons.